This 1197-nucleotide ribosomal RNA is filed under the name Enterococcus faecalis. Its description in RNAcentral is "partial 23S ribosomal RNA". It matches the Rfam family "Bacterial large subunit ribosomal RNA", at positions 332 to 1530 of the family's 2925-position model. Lineage: Bacteria; Bacillati; Bacillota; Bacilli; Lactobacillales; Enterococcaceae. The record is from RNAcentral.
GUUGAAGGAUUUGGAAAAUUCCGCUAAAGAGGGUGAAAGCCCCGUAGACGAAAUGCUAACAACACCUAGGAGGAUCCUGAGUACGGCGGAACACGAGAAAUUCCGUCGGAAUCCGCGGGGACCAUCCCGCAAGGCUAAAUACUCCCUAGUGACCGAUAGUGAACCAGUACCGUGAGGGAAAGGUGAAAAGCACCCCGGAAGGGGAGUGAAAUAGAUCCUGAAACCGUGUGCCUACAACAAGUCAAAGCUCGUUAAUGAGUGAUGGCGUGCCUUUUGUAGAAUGAACCGGCGAGUUACGAUUGCAUGCGAGGUUAAGUCGAAGAGACGGAGCCGCAGCGAAAGCGAGUCUGAAUAGGGCGAAUGAGUAUGUAGUCGUAGACCCGAAACCAUGUGAUCUACCCAUGUCCAGGUUGAAGGUGCGGUAAAACGCACUGGAGGACCGAACCCACGUACGUUGAAAAGUGCGGGGAUGAGGUGUGGGUAGCGGAGAAAUUCCAAACGAACUUGGAGAUAGCUGGUUCUCUCCGAAAUAGCUUUAGGGCUAGCCUCGGAAUUGAGAAUGAUGGAGGUAGAGCACUGUUUGGACUAGGGGCCCAUCUCGGGUUACCGAAUUCAGAUAAACUCCGAAUGCCAUUCAUUUAUAUCCGGGAGUCAGACUGCGAGUGAUAAGAUCCGUAGUCGAAAGGGAAACAGCCCAGACCACCAGCUAAGGUCCCAAAAUAUAUGUUAAGUGGAAAAGGAUGUGGGGUUGCACAGACAACUAGGAUGUUGGCUUAGAAGCAGCCACCAUUUAAAGAGUGCGUAAUAGCUCACUAGUCGAGUGACCCUGCGCCGAAAAUGUACCGGGGCUAAACAUAUUACCGAAGCUGUGGACUACACCAUUAGGUGUAGUGGUAGGAGAGCGUUCUAAGGGCGUUGAAGGUCGAUCGUGAGGACGGCUGGAGCGCUUAGAAGUGAGAAUGCCGGUAUGAGUAGCGAAAGACAGGUGAGAAUCCUGUCCACCGUAUGACUAAGGUUUCCUGGGGAAGGCUCGUCCGCCCAGGGUUAGUCGGGACCUAAGCCGAGGCCGAUAGGCGUAGGCGAUGGACAACAGGUUGAUAUUCCUGUACCAGUUGUUUUUGUUUGAGCAAUGGAGGGACGCAGUAGGCUAAGGAAUGCAUGCGAUUGGAAGUGCAUGUCCAAGCAAUGAGUCUUGAG